UGGAAAGUGGGUGUUAACAUUUUUCUCCUGGAGCGCCAUUUGUACCCAGUACUAGAAAUACAACAUGGGGUCAUGAAUAAAACAGUAUCCACACCAAACACAGUCAAGACGACAAAGUUCCUCUGGAACAGCUGAAUCUACAGAUGCCCAACUGCUUUGGCCAGAAUGACAAGGAAAAAUUCACAUACGGUUACACAAUGGACAUAGCUUAGAUACCCCUCCAUAUCGCUAAUAUUUAAGAAAGCAUUCCUAAAAAUUGAAAAAAAAGUUUAAUAAUUUUUUUAAAAAUCUAAGCUCGGAGUUUC
Phyllostomus discolor (pale spear-nosed bat) is the source of this 305-nucleotide long non-coding RNA. RefSeq lists it as uncharacterized. NCBI's taxonomy places the organism in Eukaryota, Metazoa, Chordata, Mammalia, Chiroptera, Phyllostomidae. The record is from RefSeq and is a predicted model, not a curated record. The transcript is spliced from 2 exons.